CAACGGGUCAGCUAAAUUUAAGCUAUUGGGCUCAUAACUCAAAAAUGGACUUGAUUCCCCCAUUGA
This 66-nucleotide transfer RNA is filed under the name Dolabella auricularia (sea hare). RNAcentral's name for it is "tRNA-Met". The record is from RNAcentral. Lineage: Eukaryota; Metazoa; Mollusca; Gastropoda; Aplysiida; Aplysiidae.